UAAGGAAUAUUGCUCAAUGGGAGAAAUCCUGAAGCAGCAACGCCGCGUGGAGGAUGAAGGGUCUAUGACUUGUAAACUCCUGUAAAGAAGGAAAAAAUUCCCAUUUGAUGGGAGAUGAUGGUACUUCUGGAGUAAGCCCCGGCUAACUACGUGACAGCAGCCGCGGUAAUACGUAGGGGGCAAGCGUUGUCCGGAUUUACUGGGUGUAAAGGGUGCUCAGGCGGAUUUGUAAGUCAGAGGUGAAAUCUUACAGCUUAACUGUGAAACUGCCUUUGAUACUGCAAGCCUAGAGUAUGGAAGAGAGUGAUGGAAUAUCUGGUGUUGCAGUGAAAUGCGUAGAUAUCAGAUAGAACACCAAUGGCGAAGGCAGUCACUUGGUCCAUUACUGACGCUAAAGCACGAAAGCGUGGGUAGCAAACA
Molecule: ribosomal RNA, 420 nt
Filed under: uncultured bacterium
Lineage: Bacteria
Description: bacterial SSU rRNA
Rfam family: Bacterial small subunit ribosomal RNA
Source: RNAcentral